GACGAACGCUGGCGGCGCGCUUAACACAUGCAAGUCGAACGGAAAGGCCUGCUUUCCCUUGUGGAUUGCGGGUACUCGAGUGGCGAACGGGUGAGUAACACGUGAGUGAUCUGCCCCCAACUUGGGUAUAAGCCUGGGAAACUGGGUCUAAUUCCCGGUAGGACUGCAGGGUGGUGCCUGUGGUGGAAAACGAUUUUCUAGUGGUUGGGGAUGAGCUCGCGGCCUAUCAGCUUGUUGGUGGGGUAAUGGCCUACCAAGGCGGCGACGGGUAGCCGGCCUGAGAGGGUGGACGGCCACAUUGGGACUGGGAUACGGCCCAGACUCCUACGGGAGGCAGCAGUGGGGAAUAUUGCACAAUGGGCGGAAGCCUGAUGCAGCGACGCCGCGUGGGGGAUGACGGCCUUCGGGUUGUAAACUCCUUUCGACCGCGAGGAAGCCACCUGGUUGGAAGGGUGGUGACGGUAGUGGUAGAAGAAGCACCGGCUAACUACGUG
RNAcentral lists this ribosomal RNA (494 nucleotides) under uncultured bacterium. Its description in RNAcentral is "partial 16S ribosomal RNA". It matches the Rfam family "Bacterial small subunit ribosomal RNA", at positions 28 to 507 of the family's 1533-position model. The record is from RNAcentral.